UAUUGGCCAAUGGGGGCAAGCCUGAUCCAGCAAUUCCGCGUGUGUGAAGAAGCCCUUAGGGUUGUAAAGCACUUUCAAUUGGGAGGAAAACCUGCCGGUCAAUACCCGGUAGCUUGACAUUACCUUUAGAAGAAGCACCGGCUAACUCCGUGCCAGCAGCCGCGGUAAUACGGAGGGUGCGAGCGUUAAUCGGAAUUACUGGGCGUAAAGCGUGCGUAGGCGGUUCGUUAAGUCAGAUGUGAAAUCCCUGGGCUCAACCUGGGAACGGCAUUUGAAACUGGCGGACUAGAGUUUAGUAGAGGGGAGUGGAAUUUCAGGUGUAGCGGUGAAAUGCGUAGAUAUCUGAAGGAACACCAGUGGCGAAGGCGACUCCCUGGACUAGAACUGACGCUGAGACGAAA
RNAcentral lists this ribosomal RNA (401 nucleotides) under uncultured bacterium. RNAcentral's name for it is "bacterial SSU rRNA". It matches the Rfam family "Bacterial small subunit ribosomal RNA", at positions 362 to 758 of the family's 1533-position model. The record is from RNAcentral.